ACUCGACAUAUAAUCCAUCCAAUUCUACAAAUCCAAAUACUGCUUCAGCAAUGGCUUCUUCUCUUGCUUGUCUUCUCUUCUUCUUGUUUUUGCUGCCAUGUUUAUUUCUUGCUCAAAAAACAGGUAUGAUAGGGGUGGGAGACUCCCUCAUUGCGGGUGAUAAUGGAGCACAAUCAUGGCUUUCUCCUUCAGGGGAUUUUGCUUUUGGGUUUCGCCAGCUUGAGAAAAGAGAUCUUUACUUGCUUGCUAUAUGGUAUAACAAAAUUCCUGACAAAACCAUUGUCUGGUUUGCCAAUGGGGAUGACCCUGCACCAGCGGGAUCCCAGGUAAAGCUAAUUGCUCAUCGUGGGCUAGUUCUUACUAGCCCUCAAGGCACAGAGAUUGGGAAAUCUGGUAUGUUGUGGGGUGCUGCCUACGGUUUCAUGAACGAUACAGGCAACUUCAUAAUAUCAAGUUCAGGCUCUGAAAUUUUAUGGCAGAGCUUCGAUCAUCCUACUGAUACAUUGUUGCCUGGACAGGCACUGGAGAGAUUGUCCCCUGAACUGACGCUGGGGUGGGGUGGCCAAAUGCUCUCUUCUAGACUAACGGAGACCAAUUUCUCCCGUGGAAGGUUUCAGUUUCGUUUGAUUAUAGAUGGAAAUGCUGUGCUUAAUACAAACAAUUUGCCUACUGGUUUUCCAUAUGAUGCCUAUUUCUGGAGCGACACUGUAGAUUCUAACUUAUCAAAUGCUGGGUUGCGAGUGGUAUUCAAUGAGUCAGGUUACUUGUACGUGUUGCGAGCAAACGGUACACGACAGCUCCUCACUCGAGGAAAAGUUGUCCCGGCUGCAGAAAAUUAUCACAGAGUAACUCUCAAUUUUGAUGGGGUUUUGGUCCAGUAUUGGCACCCCAAGAGUUCCACUGGAAAUGGAGGUAAUUGGUCUAUUAUUCGUUCCAUGCCAGAUAAUAUCUGUACUGAUAUAGUUGGAGGACAAGGAACUGGGCCUUGUGGCUUUAAUGGUGUCUGCCAACUUGACAUAGAUGAGCGGCCAAUCUGUAGCUGCCCACAAAGAUUUUCUCUACUUGAUCCAAAUGAUUCUCAUGGAGGCUGCAGACCUGACUUUUAUACUCAAUCUUGUGAAGAAGAUGUGUCUAAUUCCCCAGAAGAUUUUGAUUUCUUGGAGCUGGAGAAUACCGAUUGGCCAACAUCUGAUUAUGAGAGGUACUUACCUUAUAAUAUGGAAGAAUGCAAGAAAGCAUGUAGCGAAGAUUGCUUCUGCAGUGUAAUUGUGUUUAGAGAAGGAAACUGCUGGAAGAAGAAGCUGCCACUGUCAAAUGGUAGGCAAGAUGCAGAAGUUAAUGGAAAGGCAUUUAUAAAAGUAAGAAAAGAUAAUUAUACACGAAGACGACCUCUUCCAGGACCUCCUCCGUUCCCCUACGGAAACAAGAACAAGGAUAGUUUGGCCCUUGUGUUGUAUGUGCUCUUAGGAGGCUCUGUGCUCGUCAACUUGGUAUUGAGUUUUUGUUCUUUCUUCUUUUACCACAACAAAUCCAAAAGGAUCCCUCAAAGUAUAGAAAGAACUGCAGAAUCCAAUUUGCGGUGCUUUAGCUACGAGGAGCUCUUUAUUGCGACAGAUGGCUUCAAAGAAGUGGUAGGAAGGGGGUCUUUCGGCAUAGUUUAUAAAGGGGUAGUAGAAAUGGGUACUAAAGUUCCAGUUGCUGUCAAGAAAUUGGACAAAAUAGUUGAAGAAGGUGAGAAAGAAUUCAGGACUGAAGUUAAAGUGAUUGGCCAAACCCACCACAAGAAUCUAGUCCAGCUUGUAGGAUUUUGUGAUGAGGGACAACAUCGAUUGUUGGUAUACGAGUUCUUGAGAAAUGGAACACUGGCAAACUUCCUUUUUAAAGAGGCAAAACUCAAUUGGAACCAGAGAACCCAGAUAGCAUUUGGAAUUGCCAGAGGACUUGCAUACCUACACGAAGACUGUAGCACUCAAAUCAUCCAUUGCGAUAUAAAGCCUCAAAAUAUUCUGCUAGAUGACCAUUAUGAUGCCAAGAUUGCCGAUUUCGGAUUGGCAAAGCUUUUGCUGCUGGACCAGAGCCAAACGUUUACUGCUAUUAGAGGAACCAAAGGGUAUGUUGCACCAGAAUGGUUCAGGAACAUGCCAGUCACAGUAAAGGCCGAUGUGUACAGCUUCGGAGUCUUAUUGUUGGAGAUAAUUUGUGGUAGGAAAUGUGUGGAUACAGAAGUGAGUUCAGAGAGAGCAAUUCUAAUUGAUUGGGCUUACGAUUGCUACCAAGAAGGAAUAAUAAGUGCUCUGGUUGAAAACGAUGAGGAAGCCAUGAAUGAUAUGAAGCUUGAGAGGUUUGUGAAGGUUGCUAUUUGGUGCAUUCAGGAAGAUCCUGCUCUAAGACCAACCAUGAAAAUGGCAAUCCUGAUGCUUGAAGAUUUUGUUCAAGUUGCUGCUCCGCCGUGUCCAUGCCCAUUUACCACUGUAGUUGGUUGAAAAACCAGCUCUGCUAGCUAACCGGCUCUCUGCAAAUCUAAGUUUUUUGCAUAUUGUAAUUUAAUUGCCUUUACAUCCUUGAUUCCUUACUAGUUUAUUUUAGUUUAAGAAAUUUUUGCAUAGAUCAUAAAGUUUGCCAUGUUGCUGAUGGGAAUAUAUAUAUACGAGUCAAUUUGUAAUAUGGAAUUAUAUUAGAAAGUUUUUAUGUAAUUAUCAUAUUAAAAUUCUACAGAAAUUUAGCAAUACUGAUUUUAUUUCAAGCAAAAUUAAAUGUAAGUGAUUUGUUUAUAAAAAUUGAAGUUUAGUGACUAUUAA
RNAcentral lists this unclassified non-coding RNA (2798 nucleotides) under Hevea brasiliensis (rubber tree). The record is from RNAcentral. Lineage: Eukaryota; Viridiplantae; Streptophyta; Magnoliopsida; Malpighiales; Euphorbiaceae.